This is a long non-coding RNA of Carassius gibelio (silver crucian carp), 325 nucleotides long. RefSeq lists it as uncharacterized. The transcript has 3 exons. NCBI's taxonomy places the organism in Eukaryota, Metazoa, Chordata, Actinopteri, Cypriniformes, Cyprinidae. The record is from RefSeq and is a predicted model, not a curated record.
AAAGAUUAAGACCAGAUAAAGCAACAUCUCCAUCACCUUCAAUCACAUAUCAACAAAGUGACCGAUCACCAGUCCGAACAAUAUUGUUCAAAGAUGGAGCAGAGUGUAAAAAGGGGAAUAAAAGAUUGAGUCCAGAUAAAGGAACGUCUCCAGUGCCCUCCCGCACAUCAGUGGAUAGACCAAUACUGUUCAAAGAUGGAGCUCAAAGCAAGGAAAGGCUGAGACCAGAUAAAACAACAUCUCCAGCACCAUCCUGUACAUCUCUACAAAGUGACCAGUCACUGGACCGGCCAAUUAUGUUUACGGAUGCAGCUCAGACUCAGGG